Hylaeus volcanicus is the source of this 1623-nucleotide long non-coding RNA. RefSeq lists it as uncharacterized. NCBI's taxonomy places the organism in Eukaryota, Metazoa, Arthropoda, Insecta, Hymenoptera, Colletidae. The transcript has 3 exons. The record is from RefSeq and is a predicted model, not a curated record.
GAGAAGAGCAUUCGGAGUGCAAGGAAAGAUGGUAUCUGCGUCAGCGCGGUCGGGGAUCAGCGGAUCGGAUCGAGUCGCUCAGCGGGGGUUUCUUUGGGUCAUGCACGAAAUUUAAUCAAUCUUCCAAGAGGAUUUCGGGAGUUCCUCGCCAACCCACGGAAACCACCACCGGCGGCUUCGGGAUCCCCGUGAAACGGUUCGUCCUCCCAUCGCCGUCGACUUGGUUCACUUUGCGAAGAAGCUGCGGGGCGAGAACGAACACCAGCGAACCGUAAUCGCGAAGGACUAAUGCGCGUCCUUUGGCCGACUACAAAUCGGAUCUGAUGGAAGGGGCGGAUUGGAGGAAGCGAAAAGAGGGAAUAAAGGUCGCGAAGGGAGCAACCGUGAGAGGAGGAUGGAGGACGGGACGGGACGGCGAUGAGAACGGUGGAAAAAAAGGAGGCGGCAAGCCUCUCGCGAUCCACAGUUCGUUCCAAGCCUAAUGUCCCUCUCCAUCGAUGGAUACCGCGACGUCCACGUGUUUCUGGGCCCACGAAGCCCGUGGGUCUCGAUAAACGUACUUAAGAUGCAUCGAAAUUGUCAAUCGGCUGCAAGGACAGAGGAAACGAGCGAUCGAAGGGUCGUUAUCGGCGUGUCGCGACGUCCGAUCUUGGGGCCUACCGGUCGAAACGAAGGAUCCAAAGAGGAACCUGGCCACCGACGAAAAAGUGACAGCUCGCAUACCGGGCAUUUUUUCCGAUAACUCCUACCCUUACCCCUCGCGUAGAAGAGGAACGUGUUCUACGCGCCUGCACGCUUAUAUGUAUACGCAUACGUACCUACACUCGCGACUGUCGCGCAAGAAGUUGUUCGACCGGCGCGUACUUUUUAUUCUCCUCCGUCGCCCUCCCUCUCCGCCUCUUGCCGCGACAAGGAGAGAUAGAGAAAGAGGAAAAGGAGAAUGAUAAAGGGAAGGCGAGAGGGGGGAAAGUACAGAGGAAAAUAAAAAGAGCCGGCAAACCUCCCCGCGUCGCGGGCCCUCUCUCUUUCGUUGGCAUGAAGCGCGUGUCAUAUCCCACGUAAGUGAAGUGCACAUACGCGAGCCCACGGGAGAGACACGUCCUGCCAUAAGCCACGUCCCCGCGCAUAAUUGACGCGACUUUCUCUCGGGAAGCUCGAUAUCGUCGAGCCCACCCGGUCUGAACGCGCGCCGAUCACGACUCCAUCCCACCAACCAUCCCUCCUGAUUUUAGCAAAACGUUGCGAUAAAGUGGCUAUAAAUAAAAUACACGCGUUCUUUUUUUCGUCACCAGUUCAACCAAAGUGUUAAAUCGUGGAACUUGGAUUCGAGGCUUUCACGGGUGUUUCAAUUAUUAUAUCGACUCGCAGACGCGCGCUGGUGUUUUCGCUCCGUCCUCUUCUUUGUUCGCUAUCCUUCUCUACGUUAGAGAAUAUUCAAAGUCUACGAUAACUGCACAAGGUCGGUGUCGGUGUUGUCAUCAGUGCACAAAAUUUUUAAAUCGUGGAACUUGGAAGAACAUUUGAAGUCUACGAUAACUGCACAAAGUCAGUCCCCGAGCUUGUGCAGUUACGGAGACAUUACUGUACACGUGCUCUACUAGGAAGACUUGGAGAAAAUGUAAA